This 443-nucleotide ribosomal RNA is filed under the name uncultured bacterium. Its description in RNAcentral is "partial 16S ribosomal RNA". It matches the Rfam family "Bacterial small subunit ribosomal RNA", at positions 338 to 795 of the family's 1533-position model. The record is from RNAcentral.
CCUACGGGCGGCAGCAGUGGGGAAUAUUGGGCAAUGGGCGCAAGCCUGACCCAGCAACGCCGCGUGAAGGAAGAAGGCUCUCGGUUUGUAAACUUCUUUUAUCAGGGACGAAACAAAUGACGGUACCUGAUGAAUAAGCCACGGCUAACUACGUGCCAGCAGCCGCGGUAAUACGUAGGGGGCAAGCGUUAUCCGGAUUUACUGGGUGUAAAGGGCGUGUAGGCGGGGGUGCAAGUCAGAUGUGAAAUGCAAGGGCUCAACCCCGGGACUGCAUUUGAAACUGUAGUGCUGGAGUGAAGGAGAGGCAAGCGGAAUUCCGUGUGUAGCGGUGAAAUGCGUAGAUAUUCGGAGGAACACCAGUGGCGAAGGCGGCCUACUGGACAGUAACUGACGCUGAGGCGCGAAAGCGUGGGGAGCAAACAGGAUUAGAUACCCGUGUAGUC